AUGGUAUUCGGUGGGUUGUUCCAUGGUAUUCGGUGGGUUGUUCCAUGGUUUUUGGUGCGGUUGUUCCAUGGUUUUUGGCGGGGUUGUUCCAUGGUUUUUGGUGCGGCUGUUGGAUGGUUUUCGGCGGGGUUCUUGGAUGGUUUUUGGUGUGGUUGUUCCAUGGUUGUUGGUGCUGUUGUUCCAUGGUUUUUGUUGGCGUUUGAUGAUGGUUUUUGCCGGGGUUGUUCCAUGGUUUAUUGGUGUGGUUCUUCCAUGGUUAUUGGUGCGGUUGUUCCAUGGUUUUGGGCGGGGUUGUUCCAUGGUUUUUUUUGUGGUUCUUCCAUGGUUAUUGGGGCGGUUGUUCCAUGGUUUAUUGGUGAGGUUCUUCUAUGGUUUUUGCCGGGGUUGUUCCAUGGUUUUUGGUGGGGCUGUUCCAUGGUUAUUGGUGGGUUGUUCCAUGGUUAUUGGCGGGGCUGUUCCAUGGUUUUUGGUGGGCUGUUCCAUGGUUUUUGGCGGGGUUGUUCCAUGGUUAUUGGGGCGGUUGUUCCAUGGUUUAUUGGUGAGGUUCUUCUAUGGUUUUUGCCGGGGUUGUUCCAUGGUUUUUGGUGGGGCUGUUCCAUGGUUAUUGGUGGGUUGUUCCAUGGUUAUUGGCGGGGCUGUUCCAUGGUUUUUGGUGGGCUGUUCCAUGGUUUUUGGCGGGGUUGUUCCAUGGUUAUUGGGGCGGUUGUUCCAUGGUUUAUUGGUGAGGUUCUUCUAUGGUUUUUGCCGGGGUUGUUCCAUGGUUUUUGGUGGGGCUGUUCCAUGGUUAUUGGUGGGUUGUUCCAUGGUUAUUGGCGGGGCUGUUCCAUGGUUUUUGGUGGGCUGUUCCAUGGUUUUUGGCGGGGUUGUUCCAUGGUUAUUGGGGCGGUUGUUCCAUGGUUUAUUGGUGAGGUUCUUCUAUGGUUUUUGCCGGGGUUGUUCCAUGGUUUUUGGUGGGGCUGUUCCAUGGUUAUUGGUGGGUUGUUCCAUGGUUAUUGGCGGGGCUGUUCCAUGGUUUUUGGUGGGCUGUUCCAUGGUUUUUGGCGGGGUUGUUCCAUGGUUAUUGGGGCGGUUGUUCCAUGGUUUAUUGGUGAGGUUCUUCUAUGGUUUUUGCCGGGGUUGUUCCAUGGUUUUUGGUGGGGCUGUUCCAUGGUUAUUGGUGGGCUGUUCCAUGGUUUUUGGCGGGGUUGUUCCAUGGUUAUUGGGGCGGUUGUUCCAUGGUUUAUUGGUGAGGUUCUUCUAUGGUUUUUGCCGGGGUUGUUCCAUGGUUUUUGGUGGGGCUGUUCCAUGGUUUUUAGCGGGGCUGUUCCAUGGUUAUUGGUGCGGUUGUUCCAUGGUUUUUGGUGGGCUGUUCCAUGGUUAUUGGUGGGCUGUUCCAUGGUUAUUGGUGGGUUGUUCCAUGGUUAUUGGUGGGGCUGUUCCAUGGUUUUUGGUGGGGCUGUUCCAUGGUUUUUAGCGGGGCUGUUCCAUGGUUUUUGA
RNAcentral lists this long non-coding RNA (1476 nucleotides) under Ficedula albicollis (Collared flycatcher). Its description in RNAcentral is "lncRNA (ENSFALG00000025563.1)". The record is from RNAcentral. Lineage: Eukaryota; Metazoa; Chordata; Aves; Passeriformes; Muscicapidae.